Molecule: long non-coding RNA, 389 nt
Filed under: Citrus maxima (pomelo)
Lineage: Eukaryota; Viridiplantae; Streptophyta; Magnoliopsida; Sapindales; Rutaceae
Description: long non-coding RNA (CMAX_LNC003070)
Source: RNAcentral
UUAGUUUCUUUUUUUUUAUUAAGAUAUAGUUUCAAUUUCGCUACACUUGAUCAUUGUUGCAAAAGCACUCAUAAAAGAUAAAAGAAAUAACUGAUUAUCAAAAUCAUUUGCAUCCCCCCGGGGGACAAUGAUAGAUAUAGUCUUCGAGAGCUUUCUUUAGCUUCGCAAUCAAACACUCUUCCCUUGUAAUCCCUGAGCAAUCAACAAUGUCUGGUGAUGCUGUAGGAUUACUGGAAAAUGAUGCAUCUGUGGUAGAUCCUUGGCCAAUAUAAUUGGCUAAAAUAAGUCUACUUUCAGUGUUUGCCACUACGAGCAAAGCCAAGAUGAUGACUGUAAGGCUCUUCGACAUAUUUCUAUUUCUUAGGUGAAUUAUCAAUAACUUAAUUAGA